UCGGUCCAAAAUCAAGGACCGUAUUGGCAACGUAUUUCCUUGUAUCAGGACCGUAUUGGAUCACUUCUCAACAUCCAAGACCAUGUUGGACCUUGCCGCCAACUUCCGUGACUAUACGUGCAAUUAUCUCGGAUUUCACCUAUGUAGCUGCCACACACAUUUUUCUCAUCGUGAUUUCUCUCUGUCUCUCGUGAUCUCCCUCCAGCCUGAUGGUCGCCGGCAUUCUCUCGCCACUAGGAACACCCUGCUCUCAAGUUGCUCCAUUCUCUCGUCAUCACAUCCUUGCUUCCUUUCACCUUGUUAUAUCCAGCUCCUCCUCCCACACCGGUCAUAGCUUCAAGUGGCACAAGAUUACGGUGUGAGUCAGCGCAAGUGGCUGCACUUUCCCUCCUCAGCUAAUCCAGGACCUGCAAGUGGCCAGAAAAUGUCAGUUGCACCGGUUUUUGCAAAGGAGGAGGUCGGAGGUUAUCAAGCCACUAUGGCGAGCUCCAUGCCUUGGUCGGGUCUGUAAUUUGGCUAGGACUAAGGUUCUUUUUUUAUCUAUGCCUACAAGAUGUUUGACGAAAAUCCAAAGCGUGCUCCAAGAAAAGAUUAAUAUGUGUAAUAUCCAUCCUCCGUUGUCCGCUCAAUAACUUUUUUUUCCAGAAGUUAAAGCUACGGCGACAAAGUGCUGGAGAACCCGACAAUGUUUUCUUUUGUUGGAACCAAGUUUUUUUUUUUUUUGCUAGAACCAGCUUCAAAUUUUGCUAUCACAGUCUUUAGUUUUUAUUGAAACCAACAAAAACUUUUGCUACCACGUUUGUUUACUUGCUGGAACCAGUGUACCAAUUUGCUACCACCGUCUUUGUUUUUGCUGGAAUUUUUAUGCCAUCUCUUCGUUUGUUGGAACAAUUGUACCACUUUUGCUACAACCAUUUUGGUUUUUGCUACUACUGCAUUGUCAAUUGUUA
Aegilops tauschii subsp. strangulata is the source of this 950-nucleotide non-coding RNA. The record is from RefSeq and is a predicted model, not a curated record. NCBI's taxonomy places the organism in Eukaryota, Viridiplantae, Streptophyta, Magnoliopsida, Poales, Poaceae.